GCAUUGAUAGCUCAGCGUCAGAGCGCCGGUCUUGUAAACCGGACGUCGGAGGUUAAACUCCCCCUCAAUGCU
RNAcentral lists this transfer RNA (72 nucleotides) under Channa asiatica (small snakehead). RNAcentral's name for it is "tRNA-Thr". It matches the Rfam family "tRNA". From Rfam's summary of the family: Transfer RNA (tRNA) molecules are approximately 80 nucleotides in length. Their secondary structure includes four short double-helical elements and three loops (D, anti-codon, and T loops). Further hydrogen bonds mediate the characteristic L-shaped molecular structure. tRNAs have two regions of fundamental functional importance: the anti-codon, which is responsible for specific mRNA codon recognition, and the 3' end, to which the tRNAs corresponding amino acid is attached (by aminoacyl-tRNA synthetases). tRNAs cope with the degeneracy of the genetic code in two manners: having more than one tRNA (with a specific anti-codon) for a particular amino acid; and 'wobble' base-pairing, i.e. permitting non-standard base-pairing at the 3rd anti-codon position. Lineage: Eukaryota; Metazoa; Chordata; Actinopteri; Anabantiformes; Channidae. The record is from RNAcentral.